Molecule: ribosomal RNA, 450 nt
Filed under: uncultured bacterium
Lineage: Bacteria
Description: bacterial SSU rRNA
Rfam family: Bacterial small subunit ribosomal RNA
Source: RNAcentral
AACGAACGCUGGCGGCAUGCCUAACACAUGCAAGUCGAACGAGACCUUCGGGUCUAGUGGCGCACGGGUGCGUAACGCGUGGGAAUCUACCCUUGGGUUCGGAAUAACAGCGAGAAAUUGCUGCUAAUACCGGAUGAUGACGUAAGUCCAAAGAUUUAUCGCCCAAGGAUGAGCCCGCGUAGGAUUAGCUAGUUGGUGAGGUAAAGGCUCACCAAGGCGACGAUCCUUAGCUGGUCUGAGAGGAUGAUCAGCCACACUGGGACUGAGACACGGCCCAGACUCCUACGGGAGGCAGCAGUGGGGAAUAUUGGACAAUGGGCGAAAGCCUGAUCCAGCAAUGCCGCGUGAGUGAUGAAGGCCUUAGGGUUGUAAAGCUCUUUUACCCGGGAUGAUAAUGACAGUACCGGGAGAAUAAGCUCCGGCUAACUCCGUGCCAGCAGCCGCGGUAAU